UGGCGAACGGGUAAGUAACACGUGGGUGAUCUGCCCUGCACUCUGGGAUAAGCCUGGGAAACUGGGUCUAAUACCGGAUAGGACCAUGCUUUAGUGUGUGUGGUGGAAAGUUUUUUCGGUGUAGGAUGAGCCCGCGGCCUAUCAGCUCGUUGGUGGGGUAAUGGCCUACCAAGGCGGCGAUGGGUAGCCGGACUGAGAGGUUGGUCGGCCACAUUGGGACUGAGAUACGGCCCAG
This 235-nucleotide ribosomal RNA is filed under the name uncultured Actinomycetales bacterium. Its description in RNAcentral is "partial 16S ribosomal RNA". It matches the Rfam family "Bacterial small subunit ribosomal RNA", at positions 96 to 334 of the family's 1533-position model. The record is from RNAcentral. Lineage: Bacteria; Bacillati; Actinomycetota; Actinomycetes; Actinomycetales.